This is a long non-coding RNA of Neoarius graeffei (lesser salmon catfish), 970 nucleotides long. RefSeq lists it as uncharacterized. NCBI's taxonomy places the organism in Eukaryota, Metazoa, Chordata, Actinopteri, Siluriformes, Ariidae. The transcript is spliced from 6 exons. The record is from RefSeq and is a predicted model, not a curated record.
CCGGCCGCCUUGCCCCAUGUCCUCGCUUGUUUUCCUUCUCUCGCUCGGAUUCUCCAUGUUGUCGGAGCGGACUGGACUCUGGCGCACAAAUAAAUACACCCGGGCGCAGCAGCCUCGGGAACUCUUUAUCAGAUCAGAUCAGAGAUAAGAGUCGGGCUCCUCCUGCACACACCAGGACAAAUACAGAGAUAGGUUUAAAUAUAUAUAUAUAUAUAGAUAUAUAUAUAUAUAUAUAAAUUUUUUUUUCUGUUGUCAUGAUUAUGAUCCGGAGAUUAUUUAAAAAGAAAAAAAAAUUGAUAUAGCUGAAUGUUGGUGUCCGGAGAUGGAUUGGAAAGUUCAGUCGCGGUGAAGGGUUCAAGUGCAGAGACGCGGAGGAGGAGGAGAACAGAUGAUGAGGAGUUGAGAGCUACAGACUAAAGGACUAAAGCACCACUGCAUCAACUGCUGACCAACAUGCCACUGAAAGAAGUUUAAACUAAAAACAACAACAACAACAACGUCAACUCAGAAUUUCAUUACAAAGUGAACAAUUCCUUGAAUACAAAUUUCUGAAGACAAAACAUCUUUUAUCGAAGCCUUCAAGCUCAGGAUGUCCAGCUGCAAAUGCUGCCUACCCACGAUGCUCCGCCUAAGGAUAGCGGUACUGCUGGCAAGAUUCCAGAUAAAUGAGUCUGGACACGAACCUCAAGGAGACGCUACUGUGGAGUUUGCUUAAGCGGAGCUGAGAUGUCCUCAAGACCCUCGCGUGGAUCCUGAUCUUUCCACCCUGUGAACCCCAUGAGGAACCUCAUCAUCAUACCAGCUGCUCUCGUCUCCGUGGGUUGGGUUUCAGUGCUGUAUUGAUGGUGUGUAGACGACGCUGAGCUGCUUCACCGCAUCACCUUUGUCUGAGGAACUGAACGUGCCUGACGAUCCCCACAACCAAAAUCUACUUUUAUUUCAUUAAUUAAAAAAAAACAAAACACCUAAA